AUGGGGCCCCGACCACCAAGUUCGCCGGCUUGCGCAGUGAUGCGGAAAAGAGCAAGCAGCGGCUUAACGGCCUAUCUGAUUGCGAGGCAGGAGAUACAGAGGAAGAUGGACGAGUUGGCCGAGAAGGAGCUUGGGCCGGAUGGCAAGGAGAGGUUCCUUGCCACUGUACUCUCCCAAGACAAGAUGAGGUCGAUGGAGGAGAUGAUCGCCGAUUCGGCGCGAAACAUCUUCCAAGAAUAUUUUCAUAUGUUACACCAAUCGCCGAUGGAAGAGGAAGAGGAAGAGGAAGAGGAGGAGGAGGAGGAAGAGGAGGAUGAGCUGGAGCUGGAGGAGGAGGAUGAGGAGGAAGAUGAGGAGGUAGAGGAAGAAGAAGAAGAGGAGGAGGAGGAAGAGGAGUUGGAGGAGGACGAUGACGACGAGGAAUUACGCAUGACUAUUCAGGUAUCCUUCUUGUGCGACCAGAUCGGCGACCUGGUACUAGAACUUCUGAAGAUGGUUCCAGAUGAAGAGCCGGAAAAUCAAUUGCUGUCCUCGGUCACAAGGCUAAAUAGAUUGCAGUGGAUCACAGACAGCAUCAACAAUUUCGUCUCAGAAAUUGCGGUGAGGGUGUCGAGGGAACAAAUGAUAGAGAGAACACGCAAAGAGAAAGAGGAACAGGAGAGGUUUCGCCAACAGGGCCAGGAGGUGAGGAGCUCGGAGAAGAAACAGGAGCAAGAGAAGAGGGAGAUCGACGGAGAAGCAGCUGUCGCCGGAGGCAGAUUAGUCACUAUGGCAAUGGACAGGGGCUUGGAGGGCAAAGAUGUCGAGGGUGAAGCGGUGAUCAGCGAGGACGCAGCCGCAGCCGCGGAGUACGAGGAGGAGGCAUUUGCUCGCUUCCGUAGGAGCUGGGAGUGUCGCCAAGGUGCCAACAGCUUCGAAGACCUCACGUUAUUCAGUCCCAUGCUGUUUACACACUGCACACCGGGAUUCAAGCCAGUAGACGGCGUCCUUGCAAGGACAGUUCAGAUCUGUUCCAUCAAACUUACUCAUGUGAAACACUUUAAAUGGCCACUGCAAUUGUAUGGUGUGGUUGCUGCCCGAGAUGCUGUGGAUGGGCGUCGCAACCCCAUCUUCCUUCGUCCAAGGGAUGAUUGCCAAAUCCUGAAUGAGUCGUUAAUGGCAAAUUAUGACGAUCAUAUGCUUGCAGGAUCCUUUUUUGCAUUGACCGGCCCAGUUCGUGCAAUUGUGUCUGGGGAACCCGUUGACGUUGAAAUCCAGUUAAUAAUAAAGGGCAAAACGGCGUCUCAAGAUAGAGCAUUGGUGAGGGAUGCCUUUUUUUACGAUGGUGAUGUCGGUCAUUCUCGUGACGGUUUCCGAACCAGCAUCAUUGAAAAAACCUUUUGCACACUAGAGUUAUGUUCUCAGCAACUUGAACGUUCGGUUCAAGCCACCAUCUUUGGUGUUCAUGUUGCUGAUGAGAAGUUAACGCCUUUUCAAUAUGGAGUCCGCGUUGUUUGCUACACAUUUUCCGAGCGUGAGAUUGAAGAAGUCAAUGUGCCCAAGUCAAGGAAAAUAGUAUUGCUUGAUUCAAAAGCUGGAAGAAAGCGCGCAGUUAGUGGUGGUUAUCUAAAUCUGUCAAGGCAAGUUCUCUCCGUAGAACUCCGUGGAAAGCUAAAAGUUCUUAUUCAAGCAUACACACCGACUGGAGACAUUGCUGCACAAGGACUUGUAUUUGUCGUACCCAAAGCAUACAACACGAGUCAACAUGUAUGUGAGCUUGGCGGCUUCAAGGUGGAGUUUACGAUUGCUUGGUCCCUCCUUGUUGAAGAUGAAGAGCAUAUCUUGAUGAAUGGAUGUGUGGAUCCUUUCGCACCGUGUCCACCUAUGAAGCCCUCUUUUUCCAACGAGGGGCUAUCUUCUUCCAAUGGUGGUUUGUUGAUACGCGUACCCCGUGCCCCGUCCUCUCUUUCUGGGCCGGCCGGCCCAUUUCUUUCCUUCCUAAGAAAAACGUUUUUUGCUUUGCAAAUAUUCACGGCAAUGGAGGGAGCUCCUAGUCGGCGCCUUAAGCGCCGGCUAGGAGAACCGGCACCCACGCGCCUGGCUAGUUGGGCCGGCCCACGAAACGCGAUGUACGCAGAAAACCCAAACGAAGCCUAG
Molecule: ribosomal RNA, 2136 nt
Filed under: Triticum aestivum (bread wheat)
Lineage: Eukaryota; Viridiplantae; Streptophyta; Magnoliopsida; Poales; Poaceae
Description: partial small subunit ribosomal RNA
Source: RNAcentral